This 1225-nucleotide long non-coding RNA is filed under the name Varanus komodoensis (Komodo dragon). RNAcentral describes it as "lncRNA (ENSVKKG00000004738.1)". Lineage: Eukaryota; Metazoa; Chordata; Lepidosauria; Squamata; Varanidae. The record is from RNAcentral.
GGGAAAGAAGCGUCGCAAAGUAGAGAAACGAAGCAAGAGGGGCCGAGGAGGAAGCAAAUGUUCACAAAAAGAACCCUCUCGAGGUGAAUGAGUUGUAACAGAGACGAUGCCAAAGCUUUGCACAGACAGCAAGGAAAUGAAGCUUUGCAUCAGAAGUGGAAGGAGGUUCCAACUACUAGCAGCAAUAUCAGGACACACAAAGACUCAGUAAAGGACGGGACCUCCUUGGAAGAACCGUCAUUGUCUGAUAAUAUUAAUAUUGUAAGUACAGAACUCUUUCACCUUUUAAUGAAGCAGUUUGCUAUGCUUUGCUCUGCCAGCCAGUUAGAAUGAGGAAAAUUAUUUCAAACAUUUCACCUUGAUAGCAUUGGCAUGGUCCUGUUUUUCAGGACAGAUAAAUUAAUUCAAGUAAAGAAGCUGAAUUUGAGCUCAAGUACAGACUCUUCCAUUCACAACCCACCUGAGACUUACUGAUUGAUUUAGUAACAGGAUGCAACCAAAUUAGUAUAUGUAUGUACACAUAUAAAGCACAAUUUCAACCUAGAUGUUUUGGGGGUGAAGUCAGUUCACAAGUAUGACAUGUAAAAAUUAAAAUAUUGAAAGUAAGUCACUUUAAACUUACUGUUAUUUUCUAAAUAAUCGAAUGCUGCUUGUCUGAGGACAGGAGCAGCUUUUUAGUGAAAAUUCCCCCGGCUACAAUUCUCUCUGUAAAUUCACUGCAGCUUAUCUCUGAGCAGACAGGUAUAGAUUACAGUGAAUGUGAAUUCAUAAUCAAACAUUUUAAAAACAACAGUAUAUUAACCCAGAAAAGUAGCUGUUGGAAAGAGUAUCUUUAGAAUGAUUUUCUCUAAAACUUAUGUUUCAAGUUUUGUUUGCUCUGGAUAACCUCGUACCUGUAGCAGGGAAAGUUUGCUCUUAAAUUCUGAGAGCAAUCUGGAAUGAUGAUCCUUAUCUCUCCCCCAAGCCUUGGAAAAAUAGAUUUGAAUGCAGGUUGAUUCACUUACUAAAAAUAUUCACUUGAAGACACACAAUUCCAUGUACUAAUUUCCAGUGUUGGGUUUCCUUUCAGGACAGUGAAGGGUAAGGGCUCCAGGCAGUCUUGCUGUAAUAGUAAAUUCAGAAUUGUGAAAAAGAGAACUUCUUAAAAUAUUACUGAUCUAUCAUCAGUCCUUUCCCAAAGCUUUCUUCUCAGGGUUGGUCCUAUAUACAGUAUGUUACUAUUUCA